GUGGCUUGAUAUAUGAUGAAAUAUUAAAAAGUCUAUUGAAGACUCUAUAUGGCAAUUGUUUGAAAGGCUAGGGCUGCUAUACUCUUAUGAGUAUAACCUUUUUUGUACUCAUAAGUUUCCGAUCAUUAGAUGAAGAGAUAUACGGUUAGAAUGAUAGUUGUCUCCGACUAAAUUAAUAGUGGUCCUCUAAGGUUGAGUGUGUGGUUGGUUGAACAAUAUGAUAUAAUAAAUAGAAAUAAUCAAAGGAGUAGAUCUAACAGUCAAAAACUUAUGAAUACAAAGAAGACUAUAUUCAUAAGAGUAUAGUAGCUGAACUCCUGUUUGAAGUUUAAUCUGAUAGUGUUAUUU
RNAcentral lists this long non-coding RNA (348 nucleotides) under Ananas comosus (pineapple). RNAcentral's name for it is "long non-coding RNA (ACOM_LNC023081)". Lineage: Eukaryota; Viridiplantae; Streptophyta; Magnoliopsida; Poales; Bromeliaceae. The record is from RNAcentral.